GGCCUGGGGAGUACGGCCGCAAGGUUAAAACUCAAAUGAAUUGACGGGGGCCCGCACAAGCGGUGGAGCAUGUGGUUUAAUUCGACGCAACGCGAAGAACCUUACCUGGCCUUGACAUGCAGAGAACUUUCCAGAGAUGGAUUGGUGCCUUCGGGAACUCUGACACAGGUGCUGCAUGGCCGUCGUCAGCUCGUGUCGUGAGAUGUUGGGUUAAGUCCCGUAACGAGCGCAACCCCUAUCCCUAGUUGCUAGCAGUUCGGCUGAGAACUCUAGGGAGACUGCCGGUGACAAACCGGAGGAAGGUGGGGAUGACGUCAGGUCAUCAUGGCCCUUACGGCCAGGGCUACACACGUGCUACAAUGGCGCGCACAGAGGGCUGCAAACCCGCGAGGGGGAGCCAAUCUCACAAAACGCGUCGUAGUCCGGAUCGCAGUCUACAACUCGACUGCGUGAAGUCGGAAUCGCUAGUAAUCGUGAAUCAGAAUGUCACGGCGAAUACGUUCCCGGGCCUUGUACACACCGCCCGUCACACCAUGGGAGUGGAUUGCACCAGGAGUGGUUAGUCUAACCUUCGGGAGGACGAUCACCACGGUGUGGUUCAUGACUGGGGUGAAGUCGUAACAAGGUAACCGUA
This 634-nucleotide ribosomal RNA is filed under the name uncultured Marinobacter sp. RNAcentral's name for it is "bacterial SSU rRNA". It matches the Rfam family "Bacterial small subunit ribosomal RNA", at positions 870 to 1504 of the family's 1533-position model. Lineage: Bacteria; Pseudomonadati; Pseudomonadota; Gammaproteobacteria; Pseudomonadales; Marinobacteraceae. The record is from RNAcentral.